RNAcentral lists this ribosomal RNA (240 nucleotides) under uncultured bacterium. RNAcentral describes it as "partial 16S ribosomal RNA". It matches the Rfam family "Bacterial small subunit ribosomal RNA", at positions 96 to 339 of the family's 1533-position model. The record is from RNAcentral.
UGGCGAACGGGUGAGUAAUACAUCGGAACGUACCUUAUCGUGGGGGAUAACGCAGCGAAAGCUGUGCUAAUACCGCAUACGCCCUAAGGGGGAAAGCGGGGGAUCGAAAGACCUCGCGCGAUUAGAGCGGCCGAUGCCUGAUUAGCUUGUUGGUGGGGUAAAAGCCCACCAAGGCGACGAUCAGUAGCUGGUCUGAGAGGACGAUCAGCCACACUGGGACUGAGACACGGCCCAGACUCC